Molecule: long non-coding RNA, 536 nt
Organism: Sceloporus undulatus (fence lizard)
Lineage: Eukaryota; Metazoa; Chordata; Lepidosauria; Squamata; Phrynosomatidae
Exons: 3
Source: RefSeq, a predicted model, not a curated record
CAGGUGAAGAUUUCUCCUGGAGGUUUAUGUCCUUGGUGUCUUGGCUGAAUUUCUCGUAGCCCUACUGUUGCCUCGUCUGGGGCAAUUUUUCAAAGUCUACUAGGGUACUGAAUCUUGGCUAUAGACUUAAGGAAUGAAUGACUGAACACAACACAUCCCUUCCCUGAAGCAGGCUACUGUCCACAAAAUAUUACAACAAAUACAUUUCACCAGAUGUUUUCUCAGCCCACUUUGCAUCUGAUGAUGAGAGGACAAUGUGGCUCGUGGAGAUAUUGCACCAGCUAAGCAUAUCACCAUCUCUGGAGGAGGAAGAGGAGGAGGAGGAGGGGAAGGAGAAAAAGCAUAAAUUGAUAGCAAUAUGCAGGAGGAAAUGCUAUUAACAGAGGAACAGUCAGAGUCUGCCACCGGUAUGACUACAGUGAGACCAGACCUCAUUCCUCAACAGAAACAAAUACAAAAUUGUCUCCACUUCCUCACCUUUGAACUUUGGCAACAAGUCACUCAGGUGGGGUACAGACCACCGCUUUGCGGCGGUC